UACGGAGGGUGCAAGCGUUUAAUCGGAAUUACUGGGCGUAAAGCGUGCGUAGGUGGUUCGUUAAGUCCGUUGUGAAAGCCCCGAGCUCAACUUGGGAAUUGCAGUGGAUACUGGCGAGCUGGAGUGCGGUAGAGGAAGGUGGAAUUCCCGGUGUAGCGGUGAAAUGCGUAGAGAUCGGGAGGAACACCAGUGGCGAAGGCGGCCUUCUGGACCAGCACUGACACUCAAGCACGAAAGCGUGGGGAGCAAACAGG
This 254-nucleotide ribosomal RNA is filed under the name uncultured bacterium. RNAcentral's name for it is "partial 16S ribosomal RNA". It matches the Rfam family "Bacterial small subunit ribosomal RNA", at positions 524 to 776 of the family's 1533-position model. The record is from RNAcentral.